This 373-nucleotide ribosomal RNA is filed under the name uncultured eukaryote. Its description in RNAcentral is "partial 18S ribosomal RNA". It matches the Rfam family "Eukaryotic small subunit ribosomal RNA", at positions 592 to 976 of the family's 1831-position model. The record is from RNAcentral.
CAAUAGCGUAUAUUAAAGUUGUUGCAGUUAAAAAGCUCGUAGUUGAAUUUUUGCUUGCCGCCGAUGUCGGAACUUCCGUACGUUCGGCGGCGUGCAUCCUUGGGUGGAACCUGUGUGGCAUUAUGUUGUCGUGCAGGGGAUGCUCAUCGUUUACUGUGAAAAAAUUAGAGUGUUCAAAGCAGGCUUACGCCGUUGAAUAUAUUAGCAUGGAAUAAUAAGAUAGGACCUUGGUACUAUUUUGUUGGUUUGCGCACCGAGGUAAUGAUUAACAGGGACAGUUGGGGGUAUUCGUAUUCCAUUGUCAGAGGUGAAAUUCUUGGAUUUCUGGAAGACGAACUACUGCGAAAGCAUUUACCAAGGAUGUUUUCAUUAA